CACCUCUGAGCAGUUGUGGUAAUCUUCCACAAUGGACGAAAGUCUGACGGAGCAACGCCGCGUGAGUGAUGAAGGCUUUCGGGUCGUAAAACUCUGUUGUUAGGGAAGAACAAGUGCUAGUUGAAUAAGCUGGCACCUUGACGGUACCUAACCAGAAAGCCACGGCUAACUACGUGCCAGCAGCCGCGGUAAUACGUAGGUGGCAAGCGUUAUCCGGAAUUAUUGGGCGUAAAGCGCGCGCAGGUGGUUUCUUAAGUCUGAUGUGAAAGCCCACGGCUCAACCGUGGAGGGUCAUUGGAAACUGGGAGACUUGAGUGCAGAAGAGGAAAGUGGAAUUCCAUGUGUAGCGGUGAAAU
RNAcentral lists this ribosomal RNA (356 nucleotides) under uncultured Bacillus sp. RNAcentral's name for it is "bacterial SSU rRNA". It matches the Rfam family "Bacterial small subunit ribosomal RNA", at positions 338 to 687 of the family's 1533-position model. The record is from RNAcentral. Lineage: Bacteria; Bacillati; Bacillota; Bacilli; Caryophanales; Bacillaceae.